This 253-nucleotide ribosomal RNA is filed under the name uncultured bacterium. RNAcentral describes it as "partial 16S ribosomal RNA". It matches the Rfam family "Archaeal small subunit ribosomal RNA", at positions 474 to 727 of the family's 1478-position model. The record is from RNAcentral.
UACCCGCAGCACAAGUGGUGGUCAUUAUUAUUGGGCCUAAAGCGUCCGUAGCUGGCUUGUUAGAUGCCUGGGUAAAUCGAUGAGCUCAACGCAUCGAACUCCGGGUAGACCGGCAAGCUUGGGACCGGGAGAGGCGUGAGCUACUCGAGGGGUAGGGGUAAAAUCCUGUAAUCCUUCGGGGAGGACCAGUGGCGAAGGCGUCACGCUAGAACGGCUCCGACAGUGAGGGACGAAGCCCUGGGGCGCAAACCGG